GCCAUGCAAAGUCCCACGCUCCGCUGUCCCGGGGCCGCAUCCUCCACGCGCUUCCACAUCCCGGGGCCACACGCGCCGUGUCUUGUGCUUUUCCCUGGAGGUCCUAGUGCGCCGCUGCUGGUGAGCCCCUCUUGCUACCACGGGACACGGGCUGCACGCGCCUUGCCACGUCAACUUCUUAGGGUCAGCAACGGCCACGCCAGGUGCCUCUCCCUCCAGGUCCGUGUGCAUCACUGCCCCAGAGUCCGCGUGGCCCAGCCGCCCGCACCCCGGCCCAGGCUGGGCGCUCGCAAUGGGUCCUGGGCUCCCGGAGUCCCGCACCCGGAGGGCAGGCAGCCGGCCAGGAGCGCCAGCUCGCCUCAGAGUUGGUGGGAGUCGCGCUUUUGCCCAGGUUGGGUUGGAGGGCUCUGCCUGAGAGGGCGCCCCCGCAGAGCCGGCCUCUUAGAGUCGCUUGCCUCGCACCUCCUUUCCUCUUUUCCUUCCAGUCUCUGCCGCUUUUCCCACCAUCAGAGAUUCAGGAAGGGCUGUGAAGCAGCUCUGCCGUGGGCGACCACGACAGACAAGGACCUGCCCCCUAGAACUCACCUUCUGCUGGGGGAGAGGCAGGACCAGGAACACCCCUAACUGCACAGCUGCAGUCUGUGAGAAGGGCAAGGAAGAAGCCAGAGCGGGGUGGGGGUACAGUGAGGGGCGGGACCACUUUAGAUAGGCCUCCGAGGAGGGGGUGUUUACGCUGACCGUGAACGAGAAGAGGGAGCCCGUCUUUGGAUGAUCUGGGAGAGAGCUUUCCAGGUGGAUGGAACAGCAAAGGCAAUGGCCGCGAGGGCACGAAGGGUUACCCAGAGCUGUCCACGCCGUUUGUCCAUUCUUCCCCUUGAGAUGAAAAGGCUUAGAUUUGCAAGACAACUGGCAUUCUGCCUUCUUUCUGUGCCUCCCUCUGCCUGGAAUGAUCUUCCCAUAGGCUUCCACAGAACCGGUUCCUUCAGGUCGCCGUCAAUGGUCACCUCAGGACUCCGGGAGCCGGGAGCCGGGCGCAGCCAGUGAGGCUGAGGUGUGCAAAGGGACAACUUUCUUUAAGUCUUUAUUUUAAAAGUUGGUAUUUUGCUCACCAUGGAUUGGUUUUGCACUAAAUUUGAUUCUUAAAAAAUAUCAUAUCAAAAUUUUAUUUAUCUUGAUUCCUGAGCUUUUUGGCGCCUCCUUAAAUUUCACCCCCAGGCGAGAGCCCCACCGGCCUCAGUCCAGCCCCAGCUCAGCUCCUGGUCCAGGGUGCUGUGGACUGGGAGUCAGGAGACCUGGCUUCUGGUCCAGCUUGUGCCACUAGACCAGCUGUGUGACUGAAUGCAUGUACCCUCGGCGCCCUGAGCCGCUCAGCUGCACCAUCUCUCCAGGGACGGGCUAUUCCUGGCUCUAGUUCUAGAAUGAUCCAAGACACUCCUUAGAACUCUGAUAGGUUGUGUAUUGUAUGCAUCUCCUGGGGGCUUUGGGCCUGUUUUAGGCCUCUGACUCUGGCCAUUAUGUCACCGGCCUUUCCCCAUCCCAUGUGAGGUGAUCCUCUGUGCAAACACCACAUCUUCGUGGCUGCUUUGUGCAAUGAGCGUUGAUGCCCUUGUCGUUUUCCCCAUCCUGGGGGGAGUUUCAGUUUUGGAGGUGUGGUCGUGCCCUUUAUUCUUGCUUCUUGCUCUUUGGUUCCAAUCACUGGAUCAUGUGACACACCUUCAUUAGGAAGCUUCCCAAAUGCCAAGUGCUGAGCAACCACUCAGGAUACAAAAGAAACCUGUCCAGCCCUGGAAGAGCUGACGUUCUAGCGAGGGAGCCAGCACAUAAGCAGACCCGUGUGCUGAGAGAAGUGUGCCCGGGGUAGAGGACGUCCAGCUCAGUGAAGGUCACCUUGAGAGGACGGUGCACUGUCCUUCCUCCUGGGGGGACCCUGCAUCCUGGGGGCUGUCUCCAAGUGCCAGCGGCCCAGAGCAGUGGGCAGUCACCUUCCUAAUGGACUCUCCGCCAUAGAGAGCUGUGGUGUGACAUUUUGCAUCCACACUUGAAUGGGCGAAGCUCUGAGUUACAGCUUUCAGUUCCUUCUAACUCCCCAUCUCCCUCCAUCCCUCCUCUGGAUUGUGGCUUGUUCCUCAGUUGUUCCUAGUUCUGACAACCCUCAAAACCUGUUUCAAAGUGCACCUCCCUCUUUCAGUUCUCCUCCGCUGCUCCAGCCCUCAGGGGACUCUUCUCUCACUUUUUUUCCAAAGCCUUUAUCAACUAAUAGACCUUCUGCCUGGAGCUUAAUUAAGAUCGGUCCAGAGUUUCUUGUUGCUUCAGCAAAGCCGGAAUGUAAUGGUUCUUGCAGGGAGAGGGCACUUGCCUGGCAGUCAGUAACAGCUGGGAGGGCUCUGCUCCUCCACUCAGAGGGUACAAACAGAUGUAUCUGGCUAGCCUUCUGUGUUUUAAAAAUAAUGAAUUAUGUGCCAAUACUUGAAAAUCAGGAGAUCUCAAAUAAAACUCUGGGUUUUCGGCUUCCCUUGAAAACUUAGAAGUUGUGCCAACCCUGAGCCUACAUUCCUCCCUGGCAAAAAUUGGCUAGAUCUGGUAGCACCUUUUUCCUUAAGUGGGGCAUGGGUCUUCCAGUUUGCCACAAUCCCCACUACUCCUUAAUGUCUAACAUUAGGCUCCCUUUACUUAUCUACUUUACCUUCCUGGCCCCUAGAGGAUUUUGAGAUUUUAAUCCCUUCUAACUUUUUUCUUUAAGAGGGUAGACAGCUCAUCAGAGCACUAUGCACUGGCUGAUGCUUAGCAUGGCCCAAAGGGAGGCUGGGCAUCACUCUGAAAAUUGUUGGGGAGGUGGGGAGGGGACACUUAGGAGGGUGCUUGCUGUGAAUCAGUCUGAAGAGUCUUAGUAUCAACGAACUCCAGUGUUGGAACUUGGCUGCUACCAUGCUGCUUUACCUGGACAUGUAGAGAUAUACUUAGUGUGAACAUAAAACAAUAAAUUUAUAAAAAUUAACUAACUUAUCAAGAGCACUUACUAUGUGCCAGAUACUGUUCUCAGAUUUUUACGUUUAAUUUCACAAUAACCCUGUGUGGUCACCACUGUUACUUCUCCCAUUUUAGAGACAAGGGACCUGAGACGCAGGUAGGUAACUUGCUCGGGAAUGCACAGCCAGAAAACAAGAGGCUGCAAUUGCACCAGACACAGAAUGCCUGGAACCUGGAUUUUACCAGGAUUGGAGGUACCGGCAGGUGAUGGGUUUUUCUAUUGUUGUCUUCUCUGCAUCAUCCAUUUCCUGGGGCUGUAAUCUGUUUCCCUCCUGCCAGGAGGCUGUGAAGUUUGAGGCUUCCUUCCCUUGGCACCGGGCUGAAGUUAGCUGGCCCCCAGCUCUGCUACUGUAGGCUCUUUGAUCUGGAGACACACUGGACUACACGGCUUCAGCAAGAGGAGGACAGGGGAGGGCUGGGGCAAGAAAGCAGGGGCUUUGCCAGCCCAGACCAGGUCCCCUCAGACAGCCCAGGGAUCCCAGAAGUGCAGGGCCCACCUGCCAGCCCCUGGGCAUGAGCUCGUAGCCCCUGUGUCCCCACGUCUGAGGUCAGCGCCCGGAUGCUGAGCUCCGAGCAUCCGUCUUGCUGCAAUGGAAGAUUUGAAUCCCCUUGUCGUCACUUUGCAUUGCUUCUGGGCUGUGUUCCCUCUUAUUUCAUUUUCGUCUGAAAUCCUGAGCUCACCCUCCUCGGCAGCUGACGGGCCCAUUUAUUUCCAAGGCUGCAGCCAGUCGGAGGGCUGCCGACAGCUCCGCGGAGCGCUCUGGGUUUGUGCCACCUCGUUUUGUUCCUGCAGACAGGGCUGGGAGACCAGAGAACAUCUUCAUUUUGCAGCAGCAAAGCUGUCAGAGCCUUCAGCCUCAGCCCUCAUCCUCUUGGGCCUGAGAUGCAUUUGGUUUGCCCUAGAGGGCACUGCCCGGGUUGACUCUGUCCCUUGGUCUUUCGUCCUUUUGGACUCAAAACCUUGAGAGCGUGCAGCCUGUGCUUUGCAAAUGUCCUGUCAAAUGCCCCUGAUUUGUCACAGUUGGAACAGCUCCUAGAGAUCGUGUUGUCAGAUCUUCUCGCAGUGUUCAGAUAAUGAAACAAAGCCCAGAGAGGGCAAGAGACUCAUGGGGAAUUGCACAGCAAGUGAGAGGCAGAACAAAACUGACAGGCUCCGGCCCCAGCCAUUUCACAUUAUUCCAGUCCACCUCUUCAGAAUCUCAGAAGGCCAGCCUCAAGGGACUCCCCUCACGAGGCAUCAUCUACCUGCAAGGCUCCUCCGCCAGCACUUCAGGGCACUGCUGCUCCUCCCCUUCCGGCCUCAGCUCAGAUGUCCCCUCCUCAGGGAGGCCCGCCCCUCCUGCCUUGUCUGAAGCACCCUCCAGUCACUCUCCAUCACAUUCUCUGACAUCCUCCAUUGUUUUGUCCUCAGAGCUCUGAUCAGUACCUGCAAAGAUCUCCUAUCAGAGUUUAAUUUGCAUUUUUGUUGUCGCUCCCACCAGAAUGCGAGCUCCAUCUCCCACCAGAAUGCGAGCUCCACCAGGCAGUGACCGCGUCUGUGUCUGUCUCACUCGCCUCAACCUCUCCAGUAACCUCGCCAGUACCGGCACACAGAGGCGCCCCGCAUGUCUGCGCAUGUGGAGUGAAGGGAUGAAGGGAUUUCAGGGACUUCCAAUGGUCCCUAAACAAGAGCACAGUUUUCAUUUCUUUCAGCACAGAUCCACUUUGCGUCUUCUGGAAUUUCACGCGAAUGGAAGCUUACGGAGCGUCCUCUUUGGCGUCUGCCUUCUUUUCCUCAGCAUCAAGCUCCACGCUCAGCAUCCGUGUUGAGUCUCCUGUCUUCUGCCGGCAUCCAUAAAACUGCGGUGGGCUCACUUGCUAGCUUGCAGGUAGGGUAGAUCUCAGACCCUUCUCA
Equus caballus (horse) is the source of this 4921-nucleotide non-coding RNA. The record is from RefSeq and is a predicted model, not a curated record. NCBI's taxonomy places the organism in Eukaryota, Metazoa, Chordata, Mammalia, Perissodactyla, Equidae.